RNAcentral lists this long non-coding RNA (2049 nucleotides) under Canis lupus familiaris (dog). RNAcentral describes it as "lncRNA (ENSCAFG00000059418.1)". Lineage: Eukaryota; Metazoa; Chordata; Mammalia; Carnivora; Canidae. The record is from RNAcentral.
GGAAGCUAGAGGAUCUUUUCUAAAUUAGCUGUGCGGGAGGCAGCAGCGUAACUCGUUCAGAUGACAGAGGCUAGAACUAUAUGCAGACCCCUUGGGCUGGAAUUAGCGCUACAGAAAUCGUUUGAAAUUGUGAACACACAGAGCUGUUUGACCUCCGAUGAUCAUGUGGCCGGACGUAAACACAGCCUUAAUCUCUCCUUACAUUUUACAAUCCUGAUAACUGUGUAAACCCAGUGUGCAGAUGGAAGGUCAAAAGGUGCAAAACCACGUAACAAAAAUGCCCCCGUGUACCCCCAGUUUCCCAGGAGAAAGGACGUGGAAGGUGAGGCCACGAACUGGACCGGGCAUGAAACCGAAGUGCCCCUCUCCUAGGGCUACUGAGCACGCAGUCAGCUUUCGUUGCAAUACAGUUGGGACAGUUGCAUGCAAAGGGUCUCUGUAUAACGGAACAUGGGAUUUUUAACCAACUUCCUGGGCUGCGAAAGAACACAUUCGAUAAGAAGCCACAAUCGUUUCAUGUCUUUUCGAAAUGCCUAUCUGUGCUGGGCGUAGAGCGGAAUUACAGAAAGGGCAUUACAGAUUUGGUCAAGACAUCUGUUCAUUUCCAUCACCGUACUAAUGAGUGUCUGGGCUAUUCAGUCCGUUGUAUGGAAGCAUACAUUUUUUCCUAAAUCCCUGCGGUAAAUCUUGAGAGAAAGAAAGCUUUCUUGACACACCAUCUAUGAAAUACUGGAGACAUUUGCCUUACUCUCACUCCUCUUCUUUCCUAUGUAAAAUGCAGACAGAUGACCAAAUACUCGGGGACAAACUGAAUAUGCCUGUCUUUGUGCUAAAAUACUCCAUAAAUCUUAAGGGUGUCCAAAGAUUCUUUAUCGUCCCUGUUUGUAAUCACUUUCUUACUUCCCCACACCAUAUGUAUGCUUCUUCCUCCGUCACCCUUUCUGCUGGAGGGCUCUUCGGAGCCUUUUAUAGUCUCGGCCGUUUCCAAGCAGAAGCUGUGAAAUGGCACGAAAUACUUUUUAAGGGCCACUCACCUAAUGAAAAGAAAAUGUCACAUCCCAAAAGGGGGAAAAUGAUUUUCUCCCUUUCAUAUCCUCCACAUGGCAUGGCCUUGGAUGACUUUUCAAAAGGUAUCUGUCUGUAGCGGUGGUUUGGGUUUGCUUUGGUUCGGUUUCCAAGUGACAGUAGUGACUUGUGGCAGCAGAAUAACGACCGAGGAACCGACGUGUGCUCUCAGCCCGGCUCCACCACCCACUCAUCCCGUAUCCGCAGGCCCAUCGUUAGCCUCCCCACUGGAUUGUUUUUUGGAAACUGCAAAACCAAGGUAGUGAUAUCUUUUGCCAUAGCCCUUUUAGGGAUGUUGGGGGGCAAGGGGAGGGGAAAAAAAAAGACAGUGACAUCUUGAUUGUUUUUGCUAAUGGGAGAAGCCGAGCGAUCUAAUCCAAAGGGAAUCCGAGCUCAUUGCAUGUCACUUUGGAAAGCACUUUGACGUGUAAGCGUACAGAGAUGGGAUUCAGACAAAGACCUCCCUCCGUGGAGGAGGACUUUUUUUUCAGUAUGUUCCUCCUAAUGUAGCUACCAGCCAGAAAGGGGGUAGCCCAGAGAAGCCUCAGCCCACGUAGAGAUCAGAGCUGAUUGUAUGAGUCAAUGCUUUUUUUUUUUUUUUCUUUUUCUUUUUAGCUCUUCUGAUGUGACACAUUCCUAUUCCUGUCGUUAUCACUUGGACCCCCACGCCGCACAUUUCUAAGAAUUAAAUGCCUAGAUGGAUUAAAUGUAGUGUGUGAAUAUUCUAUGUAACAGCCCAUAGAGUUUAACAAGUGACUUGAAUGAUUUUUCCUAACUUGUUUGCAACUGAUAGCUCAUAUUGAAUGUUUUUAUGUAAACUUUGUAUUGUUGGGAAGAAUUACCCAAUCAGAGAUUUAUAUUUUCAUAAAUGUUACAUUUAGUUAAAUUUUGUUACAGAGUUGUUACACUAGAAAAUUAUUGCAGUCUUCAAAGGAUGUACAGUCUUGUGUAUGUAUUGUUUGUAUGAAUAAAAGAUAAACUACU